AGGCAAUAGAUACCCGGGUAGUCCUGGCAGUAAACGGUGCACGUUUGGUGUGGGGGGAUUCGACCCCUUCCGCGCCGGAGCUAAACGCGUUAAAAACGUGCCGCCUGGGAAGUACGGUCGCAAGAUUAAAACUCAAAGAAAUUGACGGGGACCCGCACAAGCGGUGGAGUAUGUGGCUUAAUUCGAUGCAACGCGAAGAACCUUACCUGGGUUUGACAUGCACUGUGUCCCCGAUGAAAGUCGGGUAGCAUAGCAAUAUGCGCUUUGCACAGGUGCUGCAUGGCUGUCGUCAGCUCGUGUCGUGAGAUGUUGGGUUAAGUCCCGCGACGAGCGCAACCCCCGUGAUUUGUUGCCACCUGGUUUUCCAGAGCACUCGAAUCAGACUGCCUCGAUCAACGAGGAGGAAGGUGGGGACGACGUCAAGUCCGUAUGGCCCUUACACCCAGGGCUGCACACGUACUACAAUGCUCAGUACAAUGUGAACCGAUACCGCGAGGUGGAGGAAAUCCAU
RNAcentral lists this ribosomal RNA (511 nucleotides) under uncultured bacterium. RNAcentral's name for it is "bacterial SSU rRNA". It matches the Rfam family "Bacterial small subunit ribosomal RNA", at positions 774 to 1276 of the family's 1533-position model. The record is from RNAcentral.